Passer domesticus (house sparrow) is the source of this 304-nucleotide long non-coding RNA. RefSeq lists it as uncharacterized. The record is from RefSeq and is a predicted model, not a curated record. The transcript has 3 exons. NCBI's taxonomy places the organism in Eukaryota, Metazoa, Chordata, Aves, Passeriformes, Passeridae.
CCCAAGCAUCACUUACAGGCAUAAAAAGGAUAUUUUGGCCCCAAAUCUAUAAGACAGUCAGUAGCUGGGGUGGAACAAGACAGUAUUUGGGCUGUGACACUGAUAGUGUAACACAGGCUGGUGCUUUUAUAAAAUGAAGAUUGUUAAAUCAGGAGCAUCCUUUAGCCACCAUCUCCAAGCUCCUCUUUCAGCAUCGGUUGGGAGCAGUGAAAUGAUCGUCCCCAUUUCCCAAAGCAAGAGCUCCACCAUUUGUUGGCCAGCAGCAGUGCAUCCUUCCCCGUGCUUCCAAGGGCGACACAAGGAC